GCUUGUCUCAAAGAUUAAGCCAUGCAUGUCUCAGUAUAAGCUUGUGCAUAGUGAAACUGCGAACGGCUCAUUAUAACAGUUAUAAUUUGUUUGGUGUUCAAGUUUACAUGGGUAACUGUGGCAAUUCUAGAGCUAAUACAUGCAUUCAAGCCCCGACUUCUGGAAGGGGUGUAUUUAUUAGAUAAAAAUCAACUUUGUUGGUGAAUCAUAAUAACUUCUCGGACCGCAUGGCCUCGUGCUGGCGGUGCUUCAUUCAAAUAUCUGCCCUAUCAACUGUCGAUGGUAGGAUAGAGGCCUACCAUGGUUGCAACGGGUAACGGGGAAUAAGGGUUCGAUUCCGGAGAGGGAGCCUGAGAAACGGCUACCACAUCCAAGGAAGGCAGCAGG
This 387-nucleotide ribosomal RNA is filed under the name uncultured Exobasidiomycetes. RNAcentral describes it as "partial small subunit ribosomal RNA". It matches the Rfam family "Eukaryotic small subunit ribosomal RNA", at positions 30 to 432 of the family's 1831-position model. Lineage: Eukaryota; Fungi; Basidiomycota; Exobasidiomycetes. The record is from RNAcentral.